GCGAGCGUAGUUCAAUGGCAGAACUCCUGCUUCCCAAGCAGGUAGUGCGGGUUCGAUUCCCGUCGCUCGCUCCA
Molecule: transfer RNA, 74 nt
Filed under: Microbacteriaceae bacterium
Lineage: Bacteria; Bacillati; Actinomycetota; Actinomycetes; Micrococcales; Microbacteriaceae
Also listed under: 5 other names
Description: tRNA-Gly
Rfam family: tRNA
About the family: Transfer RNA (tRNA) molecules are approximately 80 nucleotides in length. Their secondary structure includes four short double-helical elements and three loops (D, anti-codon, and T loops). Further hydrogen bonds mediate the characteristic L-shaped molecular structure. tRNAs have two regions of fundamental functional importance: the anti-codon, which is responsible for specific mRNA codon recognition, and the 3' end, to which the tRNAs corresponding amino acid is attached (by aminoacyl-tRNA synthetases). tRNAs cope with the degeneracy of the genetic code in two manners: having more than one tRNA (with a specific anti-codon) for a particular amino acid; and 'wobble' base-pairing, i.e. permitting non-standard base-pairing at the 3rd anti-codon position.
Source: RNAcentral